RNAcentral lists this ribosomal RNA (254 nucleotides) under uncultured bacterium. RNAcentral's name for it is "partial 16S ribosomal RNA". It matches the Rfam family "Bacterial small subunit ribosomal RNA", at positions 524 to 776 of the family's 1533-position model. The record is from RNAcentral.
UACGUAGGGGGCAAGCGUUGUCCGGAAUCAUUGGGCGUAAAGGGCGCGUAGGCGGCCACCGAAGGUCAGUUGUGAAAUCUCUGGGCUUAACCCAGAAAGGUCAACUGAUACUGCGGGGCUAGAGUGCAGAAGGGGCAACUGGAAUUCUCGGUGUAGCGGUGAAAUGCGUAGAUAUCGAGAGGAACACCUGCGGCGAAGGCGGGUUGCUGGGCUGACACUGACGCUGAGGCGCGAAAGCUAGGGGAGCGAACGGG